Molecule: long non-coding RNA, 5610 nt
Filed under: Setaria viridis
Lineage: Eukaryota; Viridiplantae; Streptophyta; Magnoliopsida; Poales; Poaceae
Description: long non-coding RNA (SVIR_LNC010471)
Source: RNAcentral
GGAUAAGUAGUGUAUGGAUGACUCUCUAUCAGUCGUCCGCUGCGGCUGUGUGUUGGAGGGAUCCGAUUCUCGGCCUAAAAUAAUAAAAUCAUUAGUACUCGAUCGUGUUAAGAGGAAUAAAAGGGAAUAAAAAUCGGCUAUGUGAAGUACCUCGGCGUUUGGAUCAAUGUUGGUCGGGUCCAGAAGAUUGCAGUAUGCCGAUGCUGAGUUGCAGAAGAGGAAUUGCUUCCAAUCAGCCCACCAGAGUUUGAACGGCUGGACAGCAAAUGGAGCUACUAGCCAGUCGUUCAAGUUAAUUGUACUGGUGGAGAUCUACAUAGACGACGUUGUGGUCAAGUCCAAAAGCCACGAGGAACACCUAGCCGAUUUGCGAAGGGUCCUAGAGUGUACCAAAAAACAUGGUCUUAAGAUGAAUCCCAACAAAUGUGCUUUCGGCGUCUCCGCCGGACAGUUCUUAGGAUUCAUGGUGCACGAACGAGGCAUUGAAGUCAAUCAGAAGACUAUAGCGGCUAUCAACAAAGUCGUCGCCCCGCAGAACAAAACUGAGCUACAGUCUCUAAUCGGCAAGGUAAACUUCAUCAGAAGAUUUAUAUCUAAUCUAUCUGGGCGAAUCCAGGCGUUCACACCACUUCUGAAGUUGAAGCCAGACCAAGAAUUUAUUUGGGGAGAAGAACAGCGCAAGGCGUUAGAAGACAUCAAGCGAUACUUGGUCUCGCCCCCAGUCCUGGUUCCCCCUCAAACGGGUAAGCCGUUUAAACUAUAUUUAUCAGCCGAUGAAAAAGCUAUUGGGUCGGCUCUAGUCCAAGAGUUUGAAGGCAAAGAACGGGUGAUUUAUUACGUUAGUAGAAGACUCCUGGAUGCCGAAACAAGAUAUCCUCCAGUGGAGCGUUUGUGUUUGUGUCUUUACUUCUCGUGCACCAAACUCAGGCACUAUCUACUGUCGGCAGAAUGUAUAGUCGUAUGCAAAGAUGAUGUAGUAAAAUACAUGCUGUCACUGCCGAUAUUGAAAGGACGAAUCGGUAAGUGGAUCUUAGCUUUGUCAGAAUUUGACCUACGGUACGAAUCGGCAAAAGCCGUCAAAGGUCAAGUCAUGGCCGAUUUUGUCGCCCAGCACUGUGGGCCGGAAAUCGCCUUCGUGGAGCUAGCGCCUUGGCAAUUAUUUUUUGACGGGUCAUCAUGCGGGGUCGGAUCAGGAAUCGGCAUCGUUCUCAUAUCGCCUCGGGGGGCAAGAUAUGAUUUUUCUCUGCCGAUAGAUACCACCGCCACAAACAAUCAAGCAGAGUACAGAGCUGUAUUAAAAGGCUUACGAUUAUUGAGAGAAGUCAAAGCCGAUUCUGUUGAGGUCUUCGGAGAUUCGAUGUUAAUCGUGGAUCAACUAACCGGAAGGGCCGAGUGCAAAGAUGACAUAUUACGGAUUCAUCACGAAGAUUGCUUACAACUUUUAAAAGAAUUCAGAUCGGCAACAAUCGAGCACGUCCCAAGAGACCGCAACGAGGAAGCAAACAAACUCGCUCAACACGCAUCUGGGUAUCGGCCGAUUCCAGGCGCCAUGGCCUUAGAACUUGCAGCUGACGAUUGGCGUAAAGAAAUUGCCGAUUACCUGAAGGAUCCGUCUAAAAAGGUGGAACGGCGAGUGCGCUUUCACGCUACCAAGUACGUAUUGCUCGAAGAUGAUCUAUUCUACCGAACGAUCGACGGUGUUCUUCUUAAAUGCCUUGGGACAGAAGAAGCCAAGACUCUAAUGGGAGAGAUCCAUGAAGGGGUAUGCGGAGCUCACCAAUCAGCACAUAAGAUGAAGUGGAUGAUCAGAAACAACGGGUACUAUUGGCCUACGAUCCUUGAAGACUGUUUCAAAUAUUAUAAGGGUUGCCAGGAGUGUCAAAAGUUCGGAAAUAUCCAACGAGCACCCGCAUCAGCCAUGAAUCCCAUUAUCAAACCAUGGCCGUUCAGAGGGUGGGGAAUAGACCUCAUCGGCCAAAUUUAUCCACCAUCGAGCAAAGGGCACAAGUUUAUUCUGGUCGCUACCGAUUAUUUCACCAAAUGGGUGGAAGCAAUCCCACUAAGGACCGUGACGUCGGCUAUCAUGGCCGAUUUCGUAAGGGAUCACAUCGUCUACCGAUUCGGUAUCCCUCAAACUAUAACAACCGAUCAAGGAACAAUGUUCACAUCGGGAGAAUUUGAGGAAUUUACGACCGAUAUGGGCAUCAAAUUGCUAAAUUCUUCUCCGUACUACGCUCAAGCCAAUGGUCAAGCAGAAUCUUCCAACAAAGGAAUAAUCAAGUUGAUCAAAAGGAAGAUUGAAGAGUACCCGAAGAAGUGGCACCUAUGUUUGACCGAAGCCCUGUGGGCAUACAGAAUGGCCUGUCAUGGGGCCACCAAGUUAUCUCCCUAUCAGUUGGUAUACGGUCACGAUGCAGUACUUCCAUGGGAGUCGAGGGCAGGAUCAAGGCGCAUUUUACUUCAGGACCAAUUGUCAGCCAAUGACUACUCAGCUCUGAUGAAGGAAGAACUUGAUGAUGUGGCCGGUCAGCGACUAAGGGCCCUGAUAAGUAUCGAAGAGAAUAAAAAGAGAGUGGCCAGGUGGUAUGAUAAAAAGGUCAAAGUCAAGCAGUUCUCCCCCGGAGAUUUGGUAUGGAAGUUGGUACUACCGAUCGGGUCGAAAGAUCCUAAAUUCGGCAAAUGGUCUCCUACCUGGGAGGGGCCGUAUAAAAUCGGCAAAUGCGCUCCAGGGAAUGCCUAUAUCUUGGAAACAAUAGAAGGAGAAGAAUUCACUAGAGCUCUGAAUGGGAGGUACUUAAAAAGAUAUUACCCAAGUAUAUGGGUCGGUACCUAAGGAAUCAACACGAUCAUACAUAACCAAUACGAUUCGGUUUUGAGACACACAUAAAGUCGACCGGAACGGCCGAGUACAUUCAUUCGGUACGGGCGACGGGUCACAUGGCCGACAAAAUGUUUAAGUCGCCCUUAGAACAAAAAAUACAGCAACUAAUUAUUCUUUUUCUUACGCUCCCUCUCAGCCCGACCUAACUCUAUCAUGAGUCGGAUGUAUUCUUCUUCUAUGGCCUUCAUUGAAAUCUCCGCUUCAACUUGACGGGGGAGAUCUACGGGAGGGCGCGAAGUCCCCGCUCCCGUGUCUUCAAGAACGACUUGCCGAGGGAGUGGAUUACUCCUGCCGAUGGGAGGUCGCCGGCUGCCGUUCCUCUCCACGAAGUCCAGGAUCGUUCGGGCCUCCGUGGCGAUGUCGUCUUCAAGAUCGCCACAACGGUCGCUCCUGACAGGUGGAGAUUGAUAGUUAUUUUCACUCACCACGGAAUCCAAGACUACGCGAGCCUCCGUGGUAAUAUGGUCCCGGAGCUCCUCUCGGUGAGCCACGAUCAGCAUCUUGUCCUCCGACGUUAAUGGAUCUUCAGAAUGAAUGCACUCAAUGGCGCGCACGAGCUCGGGGUUAAGACGUUGAGGCUGAAACAAAGAAGGAAUAAGGAGAGAUAUUCUCUUCCUUAUGGUCUAAAAAGAAAGGAAGGUAGGGGUCAAAGACUUCACCUGGUUAACAGAAGAAGAAGAAGACGACGAGGCCAUGGCGAAGAAAUCGCACCGAUGAGAAGGGGCAGAAAACCGAGAGCCAAGAUUGAUGCUACCAGGAGUAAGCGCCGAGGUUGGUAUUUAUAAAAGAAUGCGUGGAAAUCUGGUAAAGCUACGUCCCAUCGGUAAUAAGAAGGCAAUAAAUAGAAAGGGCGUCGCGAGGGGCGGUCAAAGAAGAUAGUAAAUGAUUCGUACAAAACGGUCAGUGUUUUACAGAUUACCCAGAAGGGUAUCGAUAGCCGUGAUGGCCCGACGCCGGAUCUGAUCGGCAGAGUCAAGUACCCGUUGGUCUUCUUCCGCCGAUCCAGGAACCUCCGACGCGCUGCGAUGGAGUCUCAGUGCCUCAUGAGCAAAGCGUUGCCUCUCCCGUGUCAAAUCGGCAAUAACAGAAGGAAGCUCUUGGAGUUUGUUCUCUUCGGCACUGAUUGCCUUGGUCACUUGCUCCAUUUCCUUGGCAAGCUCCGCCCUCCGACGUUUGAGACGGUCUAUCUCACCUAUGAUCGCCGGGCGGGAGUCUUCUAGAACAUGGAGGCGCCGAUUCGCCUCUUGAGCCUGACGCUUGAAAGCGUCUUCCUCGUCGCGAGCCUUGGUCAGCUUGGCGCGAUCGGCCAUGUGACGAAGGGCUCUGAAGACCGGGAUCCUCAUGGACUCGAUGAAGGCCGCCGGCGCCAGGGCCUCCUCCGCCUCUUCUGGUACUCGUCCGCUGACGUCAUUAAAGAGCUGCCGAAUCGGUGAAGCGUCUUCUACUAAUCGGCCGAUGUCCCCUUGAAGGAGGGAUCGGAUGCUGGAAAGUUUGGCUCGGACGUCAUCAGGAACGGAACUCAAGGCGACUUGGCGAGAAGCAACUUCUUCGUCGUCAGAAAGGGCGACCGUAAAAGAAAAGAGGCUGUUGUCGGGGGUAUCCUGUUCCUGAAGAUAAUAAAGAAAAGAGAUAAACCAGCUGUAAGAAAGAGCAAAUCGGCUGAGAUAGAAGCAGAAGCAGAAAAGUUACCAUUUUAAAGCGAAUCUCCUCAUGUUGCACUUGAGAAGCCGCCAUGCCUUGCUCGGGGGCCUGCGUCAUGGGUUUAUCAGAUGAAGAGGACUCCACGAUAAUCGGCGCCGUGCUUGGACCAGCCCCCUGGAAGGAAAUCGGCGAUCGAGGAGCGAUUGAUGUGCCGAUGGUCUGUGUCAGAAGUUUGAAUAAAUACGGUAUGUGUAUGCCCAAAGGAAAUCGGUACGAAAAGUUCUAUACCGUAACGGAAGGAAACGGGGGCGCGUCAAUAGCUGGAGGGGCUGCUGCCGAUUGUGGUACUUCUGUAGGAAUGCUCUGUGCAGUUUAAAGAUAAAAGAAAAGUUAAUAUCAAAAAUAAUAAUCGGAGGCAUGCGCAACUCAGUUUUACCUGUAUGGCCUCCAACAACAACGAUGCGGCGGCCGCCCUAGCUUGCGUCAUAGUUUGAGUAUCGGCACCUUGAAUGACUUGAGGAGAUGGUACGGCCGAAGUUUCUGCUGAUACGCUCACAGGAGGAUCCGCCGAUCCCGUACGAGCCCGGACUCGGCGACUGGUUUUCUUGGUAGUCCUUUUAUGAACUUGUUUCGAUCGGCCAGUAAUCACGUCAACAGAUGGGGCGUUAUAGCCGAUAAGGGGAUAAGUAGUGUAUGGAUGACUCUCUAUCAGUCGUCCGCUGCGGCUGUGUGUUGGAGGGAUCCGAUUCUCGACCUAAAAUAAUAAAAUCAUUAGUACUCGAUCGUGUUAAGAGGAAUAAAAGGGAAUAAAAAUCGGCUAUGUGAAGUACCUCGGCGUUUGGAUCAAUGUUGGUCGGGUCCAGAAGAUUGCAGUAUGCCGAUGCUGAGUUGCAGAAGAGGAAUUGCUUCCAAUCAGCCCACCAGAGUUUGAACGGCUGGACAGCAAAUGGAGCUACUAGCCAGUCGUUCAAGUUAAUUGUACUGGAGUCUGGAAUUCGGUCUCGCAACCGACCGUAAUCUAGGCUAGAUGUGAGAUCAUCUCUAAACUUGAUUUUGCCAGCAAAGUACACCUGAAUCGGCAGCUGACC